UACAGAGGGUGCAAGCGUUAAUCGGAAUUACUGGGCGUAAAGCGCGCGUAGGUGGUUACUUAAGUCAGAUGUGAAAGCCCCGGGCUUAACCUGGGAACUGCAUCUGAUACUGGGUGACUAGAGUAGGUGAGAGGGGAGUAGAAUUCCAGGUGUAGCGGUGAAAUGCGUAGAGAUCUGGAGGAAUACCGAUGGCGAAGGCAGCUCCCUGGCAUCAUACUGACACUGAGGUGCGAAAGCGUGGGUAGCAAACAGGAUUAGAUACCCUGGUAGUCCACGCCGUAAACGAUGUCUACCAGUCGUUGGGUCUCUUGAAGACUUAGUGACGCAGUUAACGCAAUAAGUAGACCGCCUGGGGAGUACGGCCGCAAGGUUAAA
Molecule: ribosomal RNA, 375 nt
Filed under: uncultured bacterium
Lineage: Bacteria
Description: bacterial SSU rRNA
Rfam family: Bacterial small subunit ribosomal RNA
Source: RNAcentral